This 475-nucleotide ribosomal RNA is filed under the name uncultured bacterium. RNAcentral's name for it is "bacterial SSU rRNA". It matches the Rfam family "Bacterial small subunit ribosomal RNA", at positions 328 to 793 of the family's 1533-position model. The record is from RNAcentral.
CGCUAUCACUCCUACGGGGAGGCAGCAGUAGGGAAUCUUCCACAAUGGACGAAAGUCUGAUGGAGCAACGCCGCGUGAACGAUGAAGGCUUUCGGGUCGUAAAGUUCUGUUGUAAGGGAAGAACAAGUGCCGCAGGCAAUGGCGGCACCUUGACGGUACCUUGCGAGAAAGCCACGGCUAACUACGUGCCAGCAGCCGCGGUAAUACGUAGGUGGCAAGCGUUGUCCGGAAUUAUUGGGCGUAAAGCGCGCGCAGGCGGCCUCUUAAGUCUGAUGUGAAAGCCCCCGGCUCAACCGGGGAGGGCCAUUGGAAACUGGGAGGCUUGAGUAUAGGAGAGAAGAGUGGAAUUCCACGUGUAGCGGUGAAAAUGCGUAGAGAUGUGGAGGAACACCAGUGGCGAAGGCGACUCUUUGGCCUAUAACUGACGCUGAGGCGCGAAAGCGUGGGGAGCAAACAGGAUUAGAUACCCUGGUAG